CCUACGGGAGGCAGCAGUGAGGAAUAUUGGUCAAUGGCCGCAGGGCUGAACCAGCCAAGUAGCGUGAGGGAUGACGGCCCUAUGGAUUGUAAACCUCUUUUGUCAGGGAGCAAAGUGCGCCACGUGUGGCGCUUUGCGAGUACCUGAAGAAAAAGCAUCGGCUAACUCCGUGCCAGCAGCCGCGGUAAUACGGAGGAUGCGAGCGGUAUCCGGAUUUAUUGGGUUUAAAGGGUGCGCAGGCGGAAUGUCAAGUCAGUGGUAAAAUUUCGGGGCUAAACCCCGUCGUGCCUUUGAAACUGGCGUUCUUGAGUGCGCGAGAAGUAUGCGGAAUGCGUGGUGUAGCGGUGAAAUGCAUAGAUAUCACGAAGAACUCCGAUUGCGAAGGCAGCAUACCGGCGCUCAACUGACGCUCAUGCACGAAAGCGUGGGUAUCGAACAGGAUUAGAUACCCGGGUAGUC
This 459-nucleotide ribosomal RNA is filed under the name uncultured bacterium. RNAcentral describes it as "partial 16S ribosomal RNA". It matches the Rfam family "Bacterial small subunit ribosomal RNA", at positions 338 to 795 of the family's 1533-position model. The record is from RNAcentral.